RNAcentral lists this ribosomal RNA (486 nucleotides) under uncultured bacterium. Its description in RNAcentral is "partial 16S ribosomal RNA". It matches the Rfam family "Bacterial small subunit ribosomal RNA", at positions 30 to 507 of the family's 1533-position model. The record is from RNAcentral.
AUUGAACGCUGGCGGCAUGCCUUACACAUGCAAGUCGAACGGCAGCACGGGUGCUUGCACCUGGUGGCGAGUGGCGAACGGGUGAGUAAUACAUCGGAACAUGUCCUGUAGUGGGGGAUAGCCCGGCGAAAGCCGGAUUAAUACCGCAUACGAUCUACGGAUGACAGCGGGGGACCUUCGGGCCUCGCGCUAUAGGGUUGGCCGAUGGCUGAUUAGCUAGUUGGGGGGGUAAAGGCCUACCAAGGCGACGAUCAGUAGCUGGUCUGAGAGGACGACCAGCCACACUGGGACUGGGCCACGGCCCAGACUCCUACGGGAGGCAGCAGUGGGGAAUUUUGGACAAUGGGCGAAAGCCUGAUCCAGCAAUGCCGCGUGUGUGAAGAAGGCCUUCGGGUUGUAAAGCACUUUUGUCCGGAAAGAAAUCCUUGGCCCUAAUACGGUCGGGGGAUGACGGUACCGGAAGAAUAAGCACCGGCUAACUACGUG